AGACAGAGGGUGCAAGCGUUAAUCGGAAUUACUGGGCGUAAAGCGCACGCAGGCGGUUAAUCAAGUCGGAUGUGAAAGCCCCGGGCUCAACCUGGGUCGGUCAUUCGAAACUGGUUAACUAGAGUUGGAUAGAGGAAAGUAGAAUUUCCGGUGUAGCGGUGAAAUGCGUAGAGAUCGGAAGGAAUAUCAGUGGCGAAGGCGGCUUUCUGGAUCCAAACUGACGCUCAUGUGCGAAAGCGUGGGGAGCAAACAGGAUUAGAUACCCCAGUAGUCC
This 274-nucleotide ribosomal RNA is filed under the name uncultured bacterium. RNAcentral describes it as "partial 16S ribosomal RNA". It matches the Rfam family "Bacterial small subunit ribosomal RNA", at positions 523 to 796 of the family's 1533-position model. The record is from RNAcentral.